Long non-coding RNA from Hirundo rustica (Barn swallow), 1161 nucleotides. RefSeq lists it as uncharacterized. The record is from RefSeq and is a predicted model, not a curated record. The transcript is spliced from 3 exons. NCBI's taxonomy places the organism in Eukaryota, Metazoa, Chordata, Aves, Passeriformes, Hirundinidae.
UGUGAGCCCACAUUUUGGAGACAGAUCCCAGCAGAUGCCUCUUCAAGCUAUAUGGCCUGUCUGAGGUGGAAACCAAGCACAUGGAAAAACACUGUGCAAUGAGUUAACCUUUAAGUAAUGAAUUUCCCAGCAAGUGUCACCUUGGAGGGGCAGGAGACCAUCUAGGCUUAAAACAUAAACAAAUAGAAGAAAAUCUUCAAAACCCACAGGCAAGAGGAAUCAUGCAUCUCCCUGAGAAGACUGGGUAUAUGUUCCUUUCUGUCCCAACUCUGGACUACAUCUCUUCUCUCCAAUGUGAUUGCCAGACAGUGACCCUCUACAAGAACAUUGCCAGCUGGCAAUACUCAUAGCAGUUGUGUGUUUCUUUCAGCAGAGAUUUAAUGUAAAUUUAGUGGUGUCUGCUGUCCACAAUCAGGACAGAAACAUACUGUCACAAUUUCACUUGAAAACAUUGUUCAGGAAGAAACGAUGUUCUUCUUCAGGAAGAAGUUGGGAAUUCAUUUCUCCUUUGGACAUGCCCUUGGAAAGGUUAGGAGUUAAUUUAUGCAGUUCCCCAGGGCACCUACAAGGUGUUUUGGAAUAGGGUGAUCUUGAUUGAAUCCUGCUGUAUGCUUGCAGUUCAGGUCAAAUCAUGUUUCUCCUACUAGAUUAUUUCCCUUCUAGCAGUGGGGAGCUCCUGUAUGUGGAGUUUCCCAAAAAAGCUUUCAAUACUUCAUUAUGCUGACUGCCAGCAGAACUGCUGUGUGACCUCUGCAUGGGUGAAAUGGGCAUUUUUCAGUUUGUGGAAAAUGCUUGUAUCAAUCAGCAAUUCGAAGUGCAACAGAAAAAACGUCGUUUUCCUUCUGAUCAAUACAGUCUGAUUGUAGACAUUAGUCUUUGUUUUUGAGCCUGACUCUUUUGUGUCUUUUUAAUCCUCUUGAGCAGAAAGAAGAGUUUAAUACUGAAGAACCAUUUCAGCUAUGAAUUCCUAUAAGAUAACAGUUUAGAGUUGUAUAAAAAAAUGAUGUGGUGAGAAGAGGAUAUUUACAAAAUAAGCAUUUGCACUAUGAUCUCAAAAUACUUACUCUGGCCCCUAAAUCUCUCUAUCGAAUGUUUUUAUCCCUUUUCAUAUAUGUAAAUUUCCAUUUGAGAUUAGUCCAGUAAUUAAAUAGAAGUACCAGA